UACGUAGGGACCGAGCGUUGCUCGGAAUCACUGGGCGUAAAGCGCACGUAGGCGGAUUGUUAAGUCAGGGGUGAAAUCCUGGAGCUCAACUCCAGAACUGCCUUUGAUACUGGCGAUCUCGAGUCCGGGAGAGGUGAGUGGAACUGCGAGUGUAGAGGUGAAAUUCGUAGAUAUUCGCAAGAACACCAGUGGCGAAGGCGGCUCACUGGCCCGGUACUGACGCUGAGGUGCGAAAGCGUGGGGAGCGAACAGG
This 253-nucleotide ribosomal RNA is filed under the name uncultured bacterium. RNAcentral's name for it is "partial 16S ribosomal RNA". It matches the Rfam family "Bacterial small subunit ribosomal RNA", at positions 524 to 776 of the family's 1533-position model. The record is from RNAcentral.